RNAcentral lists this long non-coding RNA (771 nucleotides) under Olea europaea subsp. europaea. Lineage: Eukaryota; Viridiplantae; Streptophyta; Magnoliopsida; Lamiales; Oleaceae. The record is from RNAcentral.
GGUACUAAUAACAAUCUGUGGUAGCAAUAACAAGUGUUGAAGCCGAGUUUAGACUUAUAGCACAAGGAAUAUGUGAGUUGAAGUGGUUAAAGACAUUGCUCAAGGAACUAUGAGUCACCGAGAUAGAAAAAAGACAGAGAUGAUGAAGCUUUAUUGUGAUAGUAAAGUCAUCAUAAACAUCGCUCACAAACCUGUUCAGCAAGAUUAACUGAACAUGAUAAAAUUAACAAAUAUUUUAUCAAGGAAAGGAUUGAAAGUGGUCGGAUUUUGCAUUCCAUUUGUCAUAAGUGGAAAACAACCCACAGCUGUUCUUACCAUAAGGGUCAUCUCGACGUAUGUUUCUUUUAUACGUUAGCAAGCUGGAACAAAAGAUAGUUUUGAUCUAGCGUGAGGUCUCUAUGUUAUGUUUGACAUAUAAAAAUGAAUUUCAGAUUUUCCAACGAGAAGAUAGCUCCAAAUUAGAUAUGACGCAUGAACUCCAAGUGAGUCUGACAUGCCAUCUACAUCAACCAAUGAGAUCAAAACUUCUCAUGUCACUAGCUUUGAGGCCUCUAUGUUAUGUUUGAUAUAUAAAAAUGAAAUUCAGAUUUUCUAACGAGAAGAUAGCACGAACUUAGAUGUGAUGCACGAACUCCAAGCAAGUCUGACAUGCCAUCCACAUCAACAAAUGAGGAUCAAAAGUUCCCAUGUCACUAGCUAUGUGGCAUACAUCUUAAGAAGUCGUCAACACUAUAAUUGAUGUGACAAGGAUAGUCAUCCAUCUAGAAUCUA